RNAcentral lists this transfer RNA (66 nucleotides) under Dorysthenes paradoxus. RNAcentral's name for it is "tRNA-Pro". Lineage: Eukaryota; Metazoa; Arthropoda; Insecta; Coleoptera; Cerambycidae. The record is from RNAcentral.
CAAGAAGUAGUUUAUUAAAAUUUUAAUUUUGGAGAUUAAAGAUGGAGGAUUAUUCUCUUUUCUUGA